GGGAGGUAGUGACAAUAAAUAACAAUACAGGGUCCUUUCGGGUCUUGUAAUUGGAAUGAGUACAAUUUAAAUCUCUUAACGAGGAACAAUUGGAGGGCAAGUCUGGUGCCAGCAGCCGCGGUAAUUCCAGCUCCAAUAGCGUAUAUUAAAGUUGUUGCAGUUAAAAAGCUCGUAGUUGAAUUUCGGGAUCAAUACGUCGGUCGUGCUUCGGUACGUACUAACGUUAUUGAUUUCUCCCUUCUAACAAAUCGUGAUGUCAUUAAUUUGGUGUUAUGGGGAGUUAGGACUGUUACUUUGAAAAAUUAGAGUGUUUAAAGCAGGCAAUCGCUCGAAUACAUUAGCAUGGAAUAAUGAAAUAGGACGUUCGAACCUAUUUUGUUGGUUUCUAGGAUCGACGUAAUGAUUAAUAGGGAUAGUUGGG
RNAcentral lists this ribosomal RNA (421 nucleotides) under uncultured Glomeraceae. Its description in RNAcentral is "SSU rRNA". It matches the Rfam family "Eukaryotic small subunit ribosomal RNA", at positions 459 to 886 of the family's 1831-position model. Lineage: Eukaryota; Fungi; Glomeromycota; Glomeromycetes; Glomerales; Glomeraceae. The record is from RNAcentral.